Molecule: long non-coding RNA, 213 nt
Filed under: Elaeis guineensis (African oil palm)
Lineage: Eukaryota; Viridiplantae; Streptophyta; Magnoliopsida; Arecales; Arecaceae
Description: long non-coding RNA (EGUI_LNC047260)
Source: RNAcentral
GACUCGGCUCAUCUAGGAGUCGAUUCAGGAAAUACUAUGUCUCAGUAUAGUUCUCUAUCUUUUGAUCAUGGCUGUAGUUGGCUGAAGUUGGGAUUGACUUAUCCCAAGCUAGGGUCAACUAAUGAAUUGCUUGGAUCAACUUGGAAAUAGGCUAGUUUUCACCACUCUCUAUCUUUAUCUUGAAUUACUUUAGGGUCAACUCAUAUUCUGUUG